UUUUCACCUCGAUAUAAUGGCUGCAUCAACAAUAUUUCAACAUGCCGAUGUAGAAAAUACGCGGUUAGAUGAACUUGAGAGAAACCGAAAUGAAAACAACAUUGUAAAACAAACAAAGUGGGUACUUACCUACUUCACUGACUGGUGGGCAGAACAAGGGAUAUGUGAGUCUAGGAAUACAACAAAAAUGGAGCUGAACAUCAUUCUACGGCACUUUCAUGGUUCAGUGAGAAACAUGAAUGGUGAAGAAUAAGUGGUGUAAAGUACUUAAGUAAAAAUAAUUUAAAGUACUACUUCAUUCGUUUUGGGGGGUAUCUGUACUUUACUAUUCAUAUUUUUGACAACUUUUACUUUCACUUCACUACAUUCCUAAAGAAAAUUAUGUACAUUUUACUCGAUACAUUUUCCCUGACACCCAAAAGUACUCGUUACAUUUUGAAGGCUUAGCAGGACAAAAAAUGGUUAAAUAAUUCACACACUUAUCAAGACUUUUACUUGAGUAAUUUUCUAUUACUGUAUCUUUACUUUUACUCAAGUAUGACAAUUGGGUACUUUUUCCACCACUGCGAAUAAUAUGGAAUUAGCAGCUACGCUAGACAUAUCAACGACCCCCCUCUCAGUUUGUCAUGGAGUAUUCAGAAGGACACCGAAUUCACAACGAGCAACAAUGUGUCUGUCGGCGUAAUUAAAAAGUUGAGUAAAGAGGGACACAACAAAGCUGCCCACCAGUGAAUGGAUACUGUACAUAUGGUACAUAAAAGAGACAAUGGGAGUGAACACCCUUGCAGCAAUGCUGCCAAUGAUCUGCAAAAUAGCUGUCCUGUCGCAGAUUUACACAAACUACUGCCUCGAACCACCAUGAUCCAGAAACGGUCGGAUGCUUGACUAGUGGCACGAUAAAUACUGUCUUUCAGAGGACACAGAUUGGAAACCUGUCUUCAAAGUUCCUGGAGACCAAAUCUGGAAGCGGUGGAGCACUAUUCUCUCUGACAACACAGCAGCAGCUCCCCAGCAAAAAAAAAACGGAAUCCAUUUCCAGCAGCGUAGAGCCCAAUAAACGACACCAUGAGCAAACCAACAACAAACAAUAACGUGGGACAAUUUUAAGAAAUGGCAACAUUCAACAUUAAUAAAUAGGUGGCAUGUGUUAGUCACUCUAGAAGUGGCGCUAAUGCUUGCUAGCUAGCCUGUGGUUAUGUUGCAUAGCAACUAGUCAAGCAACAAGACUUUUACCGGACUACUUUUUCUGGUGGAAUGUAUUCAUUGUCAAUGUAUUGAUUAAAGCUACAUUUUCAAUUUA
Molecule: long non-coding RNA, 1300 nt
Organism: Oncorhynchus tshawytscha (Chinook salmon)
Lineage: Eukaryota; Metazoa; Chordata; Actinopteri; Salmoniformes; Salmonidae
Exons: 2
Source: RefSeq, a predicted model, not a curated record